UUAUAAGAGACAGCAGUAGCCACGGUAAUACAGAGGGUGCGAGCGUUAAUCGGAUUUACUGGGCGUAAAGCGUGCGUAGGCGGCUUUUUAAGUCGGAUGUGAAAUCCCUGAGCUUAACUUAGGAAUUGCAUUCGAUACUGGGAAGCUAGAGUAUGGGAGAGGAUGGUAGAAUUCCAGGUGUAGCGGUGAAAUGCGUAGAGAUCUGGAGGAAUACCGAUGGCGAAGGCAGCCAUCUGGCCUAAUACUGACGCUGAGGUACGAAAGCAUGGGGAGCAAACAGGAUUAGAUACCCGGGUAGUCCCUGUCUCUUAUAC
Molecule: ribosomal RNA, 314 nt
Filed under: uncultured bacterium
Lineage: Bacteria
Description: partial 16S ribosomal RNA
Rfam family: Bacterial small subunit ribosomal RNA
Source: RNAcentral